GUGAGGAAUAUUGGUCAAUGGGCGGGAGCCUGAACCAGCCAAGUCGCGUGAAGGAAGAAGGAUCUAUGGUUCGUAAACUUCUUUUGCAGGGGAAUAAAGUGCAGGACGUGUCCUGUUUUGUAUGUACCCUGAGAAUAAGGAUCGGCUAACUCCGUGCCAGCAGCCGCGGUAAUACGGAGGAUCCGAGCGUUAUCCGGAUUUAUUGGGUUUAAAGGGUGCGUAGGUGGUUUGAUAAGUCAGCGGUGAAAGUUUGCAGCUUAACUGUAAAAAUGCCGUUGAAACUGUCGGACUUGAGUGUAAAUGAGGUAGGCGGAAUGCGUGGUGUAGCGGUGAAAUGCAUAGAUAUUACGCAGAACUCCGAUUGCGAAGGCAGCUUACUAAGCUACAACUGACACUGAAGCACGAAAGCGUGGGGAUCAAACAGGAUUAGAAACCCCGGUAGUCC
This 445-nucleotide ribosomal RNA is filed under the name uncultured bacterium. RNAcentral describes it as "partial 16S ribosomal RNA". It matches the Rfam family "Bacterial small subunit ribosomal RNA", at positions 354 to 796 of the family's 1533-position model. The record is from RNAcentral.